AUCACUUCUCAGCCUUUUCUCUAAGAUCAAGUGCAAUAUCUGUUCUUAUCAGUUUAAUAUCUGAUACGUCCUCUAUCUGAGGACAAUAUAUUAAAUGGAUUUUUGGGAUUAGGAGAUGAAAUAGGAGCUUGAUCCAUCCACUCUACACAUUGACCUGGUAUUGCAGUACUUCCAGAAAUGGUGCACCAAAA
Molecule: small nuclear RNA, 191 nt
Organism: Molossus molossus (Pallas's mastiff bat)
Lineage: Eukaryota; Metazoa; Chordata; Mammalia; Chiroptera; Molossidae
Product: U2 spliceosomal RNA
Exons: 1
Source: RefSeq, a predicted model, not a curated record